RNAcentral lists this ribosomal RNA (474 nucleotides) under Bacillus cereus. Its description in RNAcentral is "bacterial SSU rRNA". It matches the Rfam family "Bacterial small subunit ribosomal RNA", at positions 69 to 523 of the family's 1533-position model. Lineage: Bacteria; Bacillati; Bacillota; Bacilli; Caryophanales; Bacillaceae. The record is from RNAcentral.
AUGGAUUAAGAGCUUGCUCUUAUGAAGUUAGCGGCGGACGGGUGAGUAACACGUGGGUAACCUGCCCAUAAGACUGGGAUAACUCCGGGAAACCGGGGCUAAUACCGGAUAACAUUUUGAACCGCAUGGUUCGAAAUUGAAAGGCGGCUUCGGCUGUCACUUAUGGAUGGACCCGCGUCGCAUUAGCUAGUUGGUGAGGUAACGGCUCACCAAGGCAACGAUGCGUAGCCGACCUGAGAGGGUGAUCGGCCACACUGGGACUGAGACACGGCCCAGACUCCUACGGGAGGCAGCAGUAGGGAAUCUUCCGCAAUGGACGAAAGUCUGACGGAGCAACGCCGCGUGAGUGAUGAAGGCUUUCGGGUCGUAAAACUCUGUUGUUAGGGAAGAACAAGUGCUAGUUGAAUAAGCUGGCACCUUGACGGUACCUAACCAGAAAGCCACGGCUAACUACGUGCCAGCAGCGGCCGGUAA